This 225-nucleotide ribosomal RNA is filed under the name uncultured bacterium. RNAcentral describes it as "partial 16S ribosomal RNA". It matches the Rfam family "Bacterial small subunit ribosomal RNA", at positions 524 to 744 of the family's 1533-position model. The record is from RNAcentral.
UACGUAGGGUGCGAGCGUUAAUCGGAAUUACUGGGCGUAAAGCGUGCGUAGGCGGUUUGUUAAGUCCGUUGUGAAAGCCCUGGGCUCAACCUGGGAAUUGCAGUGGAUACUGGCGAGCUAGAGUGCGGUAGAGGAUGGUGGAAUUCCCGGUGUAGCGGUGAAAAUGCGUAGAGAUCGGGAGGAACACCCCGUGGCGAAGGCGGUUCUCUGGGGCCUUACCCUGAC